Molecule: ribosomal RNA, 507 nt
Filed under: uncultured bacterium
Lineage: Bacteria
Description: partial 16S ribosomal RNA
Source: RNAcentral
GGAGUUAGCCGGUGCUUCUUCUGUGAGUGAUGUCCUUCCUGCCGGUUAUUGACCCGCAGGCCUUCUUCCUCACUGAAAGUGCUUUACAACCCGAAGGCCUUCUUCACACACGCGGCAUGGCUGGAUCAGGGUUGCCCCCAUUGUCCAAUAUUCCCCACUGCUGCCUCCCGUAGGAGUCUGGGCCGUGUCUCAGUCCCAGUGUGGCUGAUCAUCCUCUCAGACCAGCUACGGAUCGUCGCCUUGGUGAGCCGUUACCUCACCAACCAGCUAAUCCGACAUAGGCUCAUCCGAUAGCGCGAGGCCCGAAGGUCCCCCGCUUUCCCCCGUAGGGCGUAUGCGGUAUUAGCCUGAGUUUCCCCAGGUUAUCCCCCACUACCGGGCAGAUUCCUAUGCAUUACUCACCCGUCCGCCGCUCGCCACCAGGGAGCAAGCUCCCCGUGCUGCCGCUCGACUUGCAUGUGUUAGGCCUGCCGCCAGCGUUCAAUCUGAGCCAGAAUCAAACUCUGA